Molecule: ribosomal RNA, 361 nt
Filed under: uncultured bacterium
Lineage: Bacteria
Description: bacterial SSU rRNA
Rfam family: Bacterial small subunit ribosomal RNA
Source: RNAcentral
CGGGGUCCAUCCGGUGGCAACACCGGUGAAGACCUAGCGGCGAACGGGUGAGUAACACGUGAGCAACCUGCCCCCAAGUCUGGGAUAAGCCUGGGAAACUGGGUCUAACACCGGAUGCCCUCAUCGGACCGCAUGGCCUGAUGAGGAAAGUUUACGCUUGGGGAGGGGCUCGCGGCCUAUCAGCUUGUUGGUGGGGUAACGGCCUACCAAGGCAUCGACGGGUAGCUGGUCUGAGAGGACGACCAGCCACACUGGGACUGAGACACGGCCCAGACUCCUACGGGAGGCAGCAGUGAGGAAUUUUGCGCAAUGGCCGCAAGGCUGACGCAGCAACGCCGCGUGGGUGAAGAAGGCCUUCGGG